GUGCAGCAGGCGAGAAACCUUCGCAAUGCGGGAAACCGCGACGAGGGGACUCCCAGUGCCUACGCUCAGCGUAGGCUGUUCCCGAGCCUAGAAAGCUCGGGGAGUAAGGGCUGGGUAAGACGGGUGCCAGCCGCCGCGGUAAUACCCGCAGCCCGAGUGGUGGCCACUAUUAUUGGGCCUAAAGCGUCCGUAGCCGGCCCGGUAAAUGCCUAGGUAAAUCGUGAGGCCUAACCUCACGAAUUCCGGGUAGACUGCCGGGCUAGGGGACCGGAGGAGGGAGAGGGUACUCCAGGGGUAGGGGUGAAAUCCUGUAAUCCCUGGAGGACCACCGGUGGCGAAGGCGCUCUCCUAGGACGGGUCCGACGGUGAGGGACGAAAGCCAGGGGAGCGAGCCGGAUUAGAUACCCGUGUAGU
This 414-nucleotide ribosomal RNA is filed under the name uncultured microorganism. RNAcentral describes it as "bacterial SSU rRNA". It matches the Rfam family "Archaeal small subunit ribosomal RNA", at positions 330 to 745 of the family's 1478-position model. The record is from RNAcentral.